This 25-nucleotide non-coding RNA is filed under the name Arabidopsis thaliana (thale cress). Lineage: Eukaryota; Viridiplantae; Streptophyta; Magnoliopsida; Brassicales; Brassicaceae. The record is from RNAcentral.
GAUGUCUGUACCUUCUCACAUACAC